AGUAAAAUGGCUGAGGUUAAGCGGUAAACUGUAAAUUUACCAACGAGUAUUUAACUCUUUUACUA
This 65-nucleotide transfer RNA is filed under the name Pseudeuphausia sinica. RNAcentral describes it as "tRNA-Tyr". It matches the Rfam family "tRNA". Rfam says of the family: Transfer RNA (tRNA) molecules are approximately 80 nucleotides in length. Their secondary structure includes four short double-helical elements and three loops (D, anti-codon, and T loops). Lineage: Eukaryota; Metazoa; Arthropoda; Malacostraca; Euphausiacea; Euphausiidae. The record is from RNAcentral.